This 465-nucleotide ribosomal RNA is filed under the name uncultured bacterium. RNAcentral describes it as "partial 16S ribosomal RNA". It matches the Rfam family "Bacterial small subunit ribosomal RNA", at positions 28 to 507 of the family's 1533-position model. The record is from RNAcentral.
GACGAACGCUGGCGGCGUGCUUAACACAUGCAAGUCGAACGGAAAGGCCCUGCUUGCAGGGUACUCGAGUGGCGAACGGGUGAGUAACACGUGGGUGCUCUGCCCUGCACUUCGGGAUAAGCCUGGGAAACUGGGUCUAAUACCGGAUAGGAGCCAUUUUUAGUGUGAUGGUUGGAAAGUUUUUUCGGUGUAGGAUGAGCUCGCGGCCUAUCAGCUUGUUGGUGGGGUAAUGGCCUACCAAGGCGGCGACGGGUAGCCGGCCUGAGAGGGUGGACGGCCACAUUGGGACUGAGAUACGGCCCAGACUCCUACGGGAGGCAGCAGUGGGGAAUAUUGCACAAUGGGCGCAAGCCUGAUGCAGCGACGCCGCGUGGGGGAUGACGGCCUUCGGGUUGUAAACUCCUUUCGCUAGGGACGAAGCUUUUUGUGACGGUACCUAGAUAAGAAGCACCGGCUAACUACGUG